AAUAUGUAAAUAAACGAUGCAAACUGAUUUGAAAUAUUUAUAAAAGCACCAGUACAACAAUUUUGGUUUGCUAUAAUUUUAUAGCAACUUUUGAUAAUUUUAAGAACCAUUCACAUAUCAGCCGAAUAUUUUAUAUUUUUUGUACAGAAGCUUUUUAGGAUAAAAGCUUAGUAGUAAAGUAACUUAAAUGUAGAUGGCCCAUGAAUUCAAUAAUCUCGUCUAAUAAUGUUUAAAUGUAUGUGUAAGUGUUUACUGUCAGAAUAUAUGACUAAGCAUUCUAAAGCAUGAAGAUUACAUUUUCUCAAAUCUUUACUCACAUUUAAAUCGUCUUGGCUGAAGAGUGGAAGCAAGUUCGGUGAAUAAUUUACGUUUUUAUUUGAUUCGAAGUUUUUUGAUUAAUUUUUCACGCGGAACAAAGGCUCUGCUCUCGAGCAAUUAUUUAUCGUACAAAAGCAGCGUCCGAUUGACGCUUUU
Long non-coding RNA from Aedes aegypti (yellow fever mosquito), 474 nucleotides. RefSeq lists it as uncharacterized. The transcript has 3 exons. The record is from RefSeq and is a predicted model, not a curated record. Lineage: Eukaryota; Metazoa; Arthropoda; Insecta; Diptera; Culicidae.